GAUGAAGAACGUAGCGAAAUGCGAUAAGUAAUGUGAAUUGCAGAAUUCAGUGAAUCAUCGAAUCUUUGAACGCACAUUGCGCCCCCUGGUAUUCCGGGGGGCAUGCCUGUUCGAGCGUCAUUUCACCACUCAAGCCUCGCUUGGUAUUGGGCAACGCGGUCCGCCGCGUGCCUCAAAUCGACCGGCUGGGUCUUCUGUCUCCUAAGCGUUGUGGAAACUAUUCGCUAAAGGGUGUUCGGGAGGCUACGCCGUAAAACAACCCCAUUUCUAAGGUUGACCUCGGAUCAGGUAGGGAUACCCGCUGAACUUAAGCAUAUCAAUAAGCGGAGGA
RNAcentral lists this unclassified non-coding RNA (331 nucleotides) under soil metagenome. RNAcentral's name for it is "partial contains 5.8S ribosomal RNA, internal transcribed spacer 2, and large subunit ribosomal RNA". The stretch from base 1 to 120 matches the Rfam family "5.8S ribosomal RNA", at positions 35 to 154 of the family's 154-position model. The record is from RNAcentral.